UGAAAACGGGUAGUCCUUGUUCUGCUUGGGGGGCUUUAAGGAAGCAAAUGGACUUUCAGAACAGAGAUUGUCAAUAAAGAUUGAAGGUUUGUGGCAACCUGCAUGGAUCAAGUCUAUCGGCAUAAUUUUUCCAACGGACUACCCUUCCUAAGCUCUGGAUGUGUCCUCUGAGAAGGUACCCAUGACACAGACCACACUGGACACCAACUCAGAUAUUGGGGGACGGUUCCACAACAGCUGAGUGCGGACAUGCUGAUCACUGAGCCCCUUGAUGAAUGAAAAGCUGCUAAGCUCUCCUCUCAAGCUGAUGGGGCUGGUGCUGCCUUGAAGCACUGAGAGAUGCCAUGCCAAUUCACGGCAAGGUCUUUAUUGUUGAAACUCUUGCAUCAUGACAUCUUUAUGCAUGUGAAAAUACAGGAUGAAUUUCAACUAUAUGAUAUUGUUCAUGUUCAUCAGAAAUGUUAUUUGUCUUUACAAAGUCUGGUUUCAAUGAACCAGUUAUGUAAUGGAUAUUAAAUAAACAUGGAAUUUUACAUGUUCAUAAUAUUUGGUUUCUUGUGAGUUUGACGAACUACACUUUCGAGCACUGUCAGUUCAUCCUUAUUUACAAACAGAACGUUUGCCUGUAGCAGAGUGAUGUAGUGACUUGCUUUAUUUUAAGAUAAGUCAACUUUUCUAUUCAAUGUUUAAUGUGAAACUGACUCAAAAUGUUCUUUUAGGCCACAUUUACAUUUCUCUCUGUAUAACAUGUAUUAUACUAUCUUAAUGCUGUGAGCUAUAUAAACCAAAGACAUUCUAAUUCUGUUUUUAAUGUAUUUUUCCAAGAUAAAUAAUUUAUAACACACUAAUAAAAGUAAGGAGCUC
Non-coding RNA from Delphinapterus leucas (beluga whale), 864 nucleotides. The record is from RefSeq and is a predicted model, not a curated record. NCBI's taxonomy places the organism in Eukaryota, Metazoa, Chordata, Mammalia, Artiodactyla, Monodontidae.